GAUGAACCCUAGCGGCAGGCCUAAUACAUGCAAGUCGAGGGAGAAUGUUGGAUUCGUCUGACAUGAAACCGGCGCACGGGUGCGUAACACGUAUGCAACCUACCUUUAACUGGGGUAUAGCUCAGAGAAAUCUGAAUUAAUCCCCCAUAAGACUACGACAUGGCAUCAUGAUGUAGUUAAAGCUCCGGCGGUUAGGGAUGGGCAUGCGGUACAUUAGCUAGUUGGUGAGGUAAUGGCUCACCAAGGCUACGAUGUAUAGGGGGUCUGAGAGGAUGAUCCCCCACACUGGUACUGAGACACGGACCAGACUCCUACGGGAGGCAGCAGUAGGGAAUAUUGGUCAAUGGACGCAAGUCUGAACCAGCCAUGCCGCGUGAAGGACGAAGGCCCUAUGGGUCGUAAACUUCUUUUAUUAGGGAAGAAAAAACGGGAUGCGUCCUGUACUGACGGUACUUAAUGAAUAAGGAUCGGCUAACUUCGUGCCAGCCGCCGCCGUAA
RNAcentral lists this ribosomal RNA (498 nucleotides) under uncultured bacterium. Its description in RNAcentral is "partial 16S ribosomal RNA". It matches the Rfam family "Bacterial small subunit ribosomal RNA", at positions 28 to 523 of the family's 1533-position model. The record is from RNAcentral.